RNAcentral lists this ribosomal RNA (700 nucleotides) under uncultured beta proteobacterium. RNAcentral's name for it is "bacterial SSU rRNA". It matches the Rfam family "Bacterial small subunit ribosomal RNA", at positions 79 to 776 of the family's 1533-position model. The record is from RNAcentral. Lineage: Bacteria; Pseudomonadati; Pseudomonadota; Betaproteobacteria.
UUGCACCUGGUGGCGAGUGGCGAACGGGUGAGUAAUACAUCGGAACGUACCUUAUCGUGGGGGAUAACGCAGCGAAAGCUGUGCUAAUACCGCAUACGCCCUGAGGGGGAAAGCGGGGGAUCGAAAGACCUCGCGCGAUUAGAGCGGCCGAUGCCUGAUUAGCUUGUUGGUGGGGUAAAAGCCCACCAAGGCGACGAUCAGUAGCUGGUCUGAGAGGACGAUCAGCCACACUGGGACUGAGACACGGCCCAGACUCCUACGGGAGGCAGCAGUGGGGAAUUUUGGACAAUGGGGGAAACCCUGAUCCAGCAAUGCCGCGUGGGUGAAGAAGGCCUUCGGGUUGUAAAGCUCUUUUGUCAGGGAAGAAACACCGGCUCUAACACAGUCCGGGAAUGACGGUACCUGAAGAAUAAGCACCGGCUGACUACGUACCAGCAGCCGCGGUAAUACGUAGGGUGCGAGCGUUAAUCGGAAUUACUGGGCGUAAAGCGUGCGCAGGCGGUUAUACAAGACAGGCGUGAAAUCCCCGGGCUUAACCUGGGAAUGGCGCCUGUGACUGUAUAGCUAGAGUGUGUCAGAGGGGGGUAGAAUUCCACGUGUAGCAGUGAAAUGCGUAGAUAUGUGGAGGAAUACCAAUGGCGAAGGCAGCCCCCUGGGAUAACAUUGACGCUCAUGCACGAAAGCGUGGGGAGCAAACAGG